Non-coding RNA from Phalacrocorax carbo (great cormorant), 3380 nucleotides. NCBI's taxonomy places the organism in Eukaryota, Metazoa, Chordata, Aves, Suliformes, Phalacrocoracidae. The record is from RefSeq and is a predicted model, not a curated record.
UGAAGUAGUACCUGAGGUGGCAAAUUCAUAAAUCGGGAACAACAGGUAGCAGAAAGGAUCAAAAUGGGAGUAGAAUUGUAAUUUUUUGCAUGGAGUUAGCAAGAACAGGGUUAAAACAAUCACAAUGGAGAAUUAGGAGAAUGCCCUCAAAUCUAAUAUCAGAUAAAAUAUGUAUUCAAUACACAAUAAAUGCAUCAAAUCAAUCGUUUUCACUGGAAGGAAACUCCAGCUUUAUAUGUAAAUUCAGUUAUAUAGGUGUGUAUUAAAAAUAAAGUUUGGUACCUGCUAGUGCUUUAUCGUCAGAAAAAGUGUGCUGGGGGAACUCGGAAAGCAGAAGCAGGAGCUGAUUAGCAGGAUGCUGUGUCCUAAUUUAUUCAAGCACUGGGUAACACCUCUGGAGCUGUUAAAAGAUCUCAGAGUCUCGAGUGGUUUUACUGUCUCAUAUCUCUUUUCCAGAACCUCUUUUCUCAUGGGUGCCACACAAGCUGAGCAUCACAGAGGUGCGAGUCCAAGCGUAGUGAAGGUCACCAAAACCAAGAGUGCAGAGUCCUUUUGCUGCAAAAAGUGAUGAACGAAGCACCAGUAGCUGCACCAAGCUGGGAAAGGAAACAAGAGGAAGAAGAUAAAAGAGACAACAAUGGCUGAAAUAGUACCAGAUAUAUUUGUACAAAAGUUUAUACCAUCCAUAUGGCGAUGCUACAGUAUUACUGUUAUUUGCAUUGUACCUGUAGGUUUCAGCUGAGAUCCUGCUGUGUUGGCUGUUAUAAAAGCACAUAGAAAUGCAAUCUGUAUUGAAAAUAUUCUGAACAUUUGAGACAAAGAGGGUUCAGAAGAAAAGCAGGUGCCUAACAUACCUUAUAUUCUGUUUUCGAUUGUGGUACUGAUCUGGUUUUGAUUGUGGUCUGACUGCUGGCCAGAAACAAUAUAUUUUAAAUAUCUAUUUAUAUAUAAAAUGGUUCACCCGAUGUCAGAAUUCAGAUCUAUGGCAGAACCAGAAAUAGGUCCAGGUCACCUGGUAAACAAGUUUAUUUCCUUAUCCUGAGGUUAACUCAUUAUAUAUAAUGUAGUGAUAAAUUAGCUGAAUGAAAUCCUCUUCAACUUCCCUUCCUUGUAACUAUUUCGUGACAUUAAUUGUGUUUCCACAUUAUCUGACCUUCCGUAUUUAUUCCAGUAUAUUAACAAUCUUCCCAGAGAAUUUAAUCUCUGCCCCACAGGACAUGCUGUUAAGAAAUGGCAAAUUAAAAGAACUUGGUACCAGCUGUCUGAUCUUACAUCAAAUGCAUCCUCUAACUCAUAAUGCCAUAAAUUAAAAAAAAAAAAAAUCACUGGUGUGAAUUACUUAUGUCUUUCAAGCCUGCUGCCAUCAUAAGUGAAAUUUGGAUGGAACACAGUCAAAAUCAAAAGUAGUGAAGACAUUCCACCCUUCUCUGAGCUUCUAUUACAAUCUCUGAUCCAAGAGAAUCGGGACAUUUUAAUGUAGCAUUUGUCUCUUUUUGUAUUUAAGAAAAUAUGAAAAAUAGCUUUGCUUUUCACGUGAAAUAGGCAAUAUGUUUAAUAGUCUAAUGCAUCUUAUCAUAAGCUACUGUUGUGUGUCACUGGUCUUUUGGUAUGCUAUUGCCAGAUAUUAUACUCUCACAUCCAGAAUGUGGAUGAAACUCACUCCCUGACUACCUGGAAUAUAUUGGAAAAUGAGUAAACACAAAGGGUUUCUGUGUACAUUGUCUGGAAAUGGGAGGUAAUAAAGCACCAAGGGCAUGGCAAAAAUGCUAUUUCUGCAUUCCUUUUGCAAAGCUGCUUUCCCUCUGUUGGGGAAAAGAGAAGCUGCCUCGAGAGGAGCCUAACCUCAAAACUGGAGUGGAGCUCUGCUGUCUUACAGAGCCAGACGAGCCAAUGCACAGCGGGAGCUCCUGCUUCAGAAACAAGAAAGGGUAUUUGGUACAAUGAUAGGCACCAACAUCUUAUUUGUAGUCACUCAUUCAAGCUGGGUAUCUCAGAUGGAGCUGAGCUGUGGGCAGGAGAGGAGAUGUCACGAAUAAAGCUUUUGACACUUGUUUCUUAAGGAAAUUCCUGAUUUUUCCAGUCUUCCUUUUGCUUUCCAUUUGGAAGAUCAAGAUGUAAUAUUUUGCUUGGUAUUUCACAUUUGCAAGUCAAAUCAAACACACAGAAAAGUUUUUGCUUUAAAUUGAGUCUGCUUCAGUAUUGGGCUUUGUGAGCCAGGGGGUUACCACACAAACUGGGAUUAAGGAAGAUUUUGCAGUGGUCUCUGGGAAUGAUACUUCCUGAGCUUAUUCAUUUGCAAUCAAAACCCUAUCAUGUAUGCAUUUUGUCAUGACUUUGUUGUCAGUGAUACAGCAAUGAUUGGUACGAGGUUUUCUCUGCUUUUCAGGAAAAUUUUUAACCUAAAAAAUUAUUAAUUUUUUCUCUGUUUUCCUCACAACUUUAAGAAUGUCGUAAAUGGGCACUAUUUGUUAAUGGGCUUUUCUGUACUUAUUGCUCUCUCUGUCCUCAAAAUAAGUCUGUAAUGAGAGUCACUGCUGUUGCUGUGUUGCUGUAACUCAUUAUCCACAGAUGGAAAUGAGAACUGACCAUGGCACAAGAUGAAUCUGUUCAUAUCCCAGCACCACCAACUGUAACACGAAUGGAAGACGGCAACAUAUUUGCUCAUUCAGGCUGUGACAGGAAUGAGAAAUGGGACAAGGGCAGCUCUGUUUCCUUCUAGGGCUAUGCUUUGAAAUGUUUUGAGUCCUGAAAAUCUCCAACAGCUGGUUUAUACAGCUUUUUUCUACUUGCCCAUCUUUUUAACAAAAAUAUUAACCAGAGGAUAAACUAAAUACACUUUUCUUUUCACUAGGACUUGAUCCUACAAGCAACCAGCAAACUGCUUGUAAAAACAGUGAAGGUGACAGACAGUUAACAGAAAAGACACCCAGAACAUGAGAAUCAUUCAGAAACAAUCUGUAAAGCUUCCCCAUCUUCUCACCAAUGUAAUGUUGGCAAAGAAGUGUAUUGGUCAUGUUUACGGUAAGAAUAUUCAAAGAUGGAUUGAAAAAAAGCCUGUUCUUGGUCCAUUGUGUGAACACUAUUGUAAGGAUUUUUGUUUGUCUGCACCAUCCCUAGAUCAUUAAAUUCCAGUUUGAAAAUUUCCCUGAGAAGCCAUGCCUUUGGAACAUAUUUAUGUUGCUGAUUUAUAGUUGCAGCUACUUCCAAAGUGAUGUCCUAGGUUUUUUUGUUCCUUGGCCACCAUCAUAGCAUAUGCCAAUACUUGGUGGCAGUCCUAUCCACGUACCUCAGCUCUGUUCCCUUCAUAUACUGUGUGUUUCUGUGUUCUUUCAAAAGCAUUACAUAAAAUGAGUCAAUAAAAAGGCAUAUGAUAAUAAGCA